UGAGAUUCUGAGAGUCAUGAUAUAGGCAAAGGAUGAUAGAAAGAUCUAGAAGGAGGGGUUAACAACUUCAGUUUAGCACUUUCUGUAGAGAUAUCAUAAUUUCUGUGAAGAGAUAUCAUAAUUUUUAAGAAAAGAUGUCAUAAUUCUAUUUUCACAUAUAUUCAUCAUCUUUUUUUCUUCAGCUAUAUAUGAUAUCUUUGGAGUCAUGAUAUAGGCUAAGGAUGAUAGGA
RNAcentral lists this long non-coding RNA (230 nucleotides) under Elaeis guineensis (African oil palm). RNAcentral describes it as "long non-coding RNA (EGUI_LNC029931)". Lineage: Eukaryota; Viridiplantae; Streptophyta; Magnoliopsida; Arecales; Arecaceae. The record is from RNAcentral.